GGGCGAUUAGCUCAGCUGGUUCAGAGCAUCUGCCUUACAAGCAGAGGGUCGGCGGUUCGAAUCCGUCAUCGCCCA
This 75-nucleotide transfer RNA is filed under the name Bacteroidota bacterium. Its description in RNAcentral is "tRNA-Val". It matches the Rfam family "tRNA". Rfam says of the family: Transfer RNA (tRNA) molecules are approximately 80 nucleotides in length. Their secondary structure includes four short double-helical elements and three loops (D, anti-codon, and T loops). The record is from RNAcentral. RNAcentral also lists the same sequence under 2 other names. Lineage: Bacteria; Pseudomonadati; Bacteroidota.